UUCCCUUCGGGGACAUUGGUGACAGGUGGUGCAUGGUUGUCGUCAGCUCGUGUCGUGAGAUGUUGGGUUAAGUCCCGCAACGAGCGCAACCCUUGUCUUUAGUUGCCAUCAUUAAGUUGGGCACUCUAGAGAGACUGCCAGGGAUAACCUGGAGGAAGGUGGGGAUGACGUCAAAUCAUCAUGCCCCUUAUGCUUAGGGCUACACACGUGCUACAAUGGGUAGUACAGAGGGUUGCCAAGCCGUAAGGUGGAGCUAAUCCCUUAAAGCUACUCUCAGUUCGGAUUGUAGGCUGAAACUCGCCUACAUGAAGCUGGAGUUACUAGUAAUCGCAGAUCAGAAUGCUGCGGUGAAUGCGUUCCCGGGUCUUGUACACACCGCCCGUCACACCACGGGAGUUGGAGACGCCCGAAGCCGACUAUCUAACCUUUUGGAAGAAGUCGUCGAAGGUGGAAUCAAUAACUGGGGUGAAGUCGUAACAAGGUAGCCGUAUCGGAAGGUGCGGCUGGAGCACCUCCUUUCUAAGGA
This 526-nucleotide ribosomal RNA is filed under the name Clostridioides difficile. RNAcentral's name for it is "bacterial SSU rRNA". It matches the Rfam family "Bacterial small subunit ribosomal RNA", at positions 1014 to 1533 of the family's 1533-position model. The record is from RNAcentral. Lineage: Bacteria; Bacillati; Bacillota; Clostridia; Peptostreptococcales; Peptostreptococcaceae.